UACGUAGGUGGCGAGCGUUAUCCGGAAUUAUUGGGCGUAAAGGGUGCGUAGGUGGUCUUUUAAGUGAGAUGUGAAAUCCCGGGGCUUAACCCCGGAACUGCAUUUCAAACUGGGAGACUAGAGUGCAGGAGAGGAAAGUGGAAUUCCUAGUGUAGCGGUGAAAUGCGUAGAGAUUAGGAGGAACACCAGUGGCGAAGGCGACUUUCUGGACUGUAACUGACACUGAGGCACGAAAGCGUGGGGAGCAAACAGG
RNAcentral lists this ribosomal RNA (253 nucleotides) under uncultured bacterium. RNAcentral describes it as "partial 16S ribosomal RNA". It matches the Rfam family "Bacterial small subunit ribosomal RNA", at positions 524 to 776 of the family's 1533-position model. The record is from RNAcentral.